Molecule: ribosomal RNA, 253 nt
Filed under: uncultured bacterium
Lineage: Bacteria
Description: partial 16S ribosomal RNA
Rfam family: Bacterial small subunit ribosomal RNA
Source: RNAcentral
UACGGAGGGUGCAAGCGUUGUCCGGAUUCAUUGGGCGUAAAGAGCGUGUAGGCGGCCCGGUAGGUCGGUUGUGAAAACUGGAGGCUCAACCUUCAGAGGUCGAUCGAAACCAUCUGGCUAGAGUCCGGGAGAGGAGAGUGGAAUUCCUGGUGUAGCGGUGAAAUGCGCAGAUAUCAGGAAGAACACCCGUGGCGAAAGCGGCUCUCUGGAACGGUACUGACGCUGAGACGCGAAAGCGUGGGGAGCGAACAGG